CGGACUGAACUGGACCUUGGAUCACCUUUGGGCCGUUUUCUUCAAGCAAACGAACGCUGUCUCGUCUCUGAGCGAUCCGCCGCUAUCCUUCUAACUUCUCUAAAACCCUCGUUGUACCCCAUCGCCUCUUCCUUCCCAGAUCUUACAAACCCUCUCCAUCAAAUCCUCUCCCACGAAACCUAAACCAUCGUAUAGCAUACGACGCCUGACCUCCGUCGGUUCAUGAAGCACCGGGUCCGCAAGAAGCCCUUGCGCACGAAAGGGGGCAAGAAGAAACCCCGAUCCUUCGGCGGCGACGACGACCCCUUUUUCGAAUCCGAUACCAAGUGGCGGGGCAAAGGCCGCGACGCCGACGACGAUGACGAUCUGGAGAGCCUGGAGAGCGACGACGAGCCGGCCAACAAUUGGGGGGAGGAGGAGGAAGCGGCGGAGCCAGAAGAAACCGCAGAUGAGAAGAGGGUCAGAAUGGCGAGAGAGCAUUUGGAGAAGAUUCGAGCCAUAGCGAGAAAGGUGGAGGAGGAGGAGGAAGGGGAGGAGGGGGACGAGGAGGAGGGACGGGAGGAGGGGGACGAGGGUAGAAGAGAUUCUUUGGUUGCGGAGAUUCUCCAAAAGGACCAGCAUGAGGACAGUGGUCGGGUUAGGAGAUUUCUUGCUUCGAGGGUUCUAAGUCCAGAAAUUCUCGACGAGUUCCGACUCCUACUGAAGCACCGGCAGUCUGUUACUGCUGUAGCUUUGGCUGAGGAUGACUCAAGGGGGUUUUCAGCUUCCAAAGAUGGAUCCAUUCUGCACUGGGAUGUUGAGAGUGGGAAAAGUGAGAAGUACUUGUGGCCCAGUGAGGAUGCACUGAUAUCACAUUAUGCAAAAGCACCUCAAAAUCCAUCUACAAAGAGAAGCAAGCAUGUAUUGACUUUGGCUGUUAGCUCUGAUCGUCGGUUUUUGGCAAGUGGUGGAUUGGAUCGCCACAUCCAUUUAUGGGAUACUCGCACGCGGGAACACAUCCAGGCAUUUCAUGGUCAUAAAGGACCGGUCUCAUGCCUUACUUUUAGGCAGGGAACCUCCCAGCUCUUCUCUGGUUCCUUUGAUCGAACAAUUAAGCUAUGGAAUGCAGAAGACAGAACUCACAUGGACAAUUUAUUUGGUCAUCAAAGUGAAAUAUUGACGAUUGAUUGCCUCAGAAAAGAACGAAUUUUGACUGCAGGGCGUGAUCGGACUAUGCGAUUAUGGAAAGUUCCUGAGGAAUCACAAUUGAUCUUCCGGGCUCCUGCAUCAUCUUUGGAAUGCGGCUGCUUUAUUAAUGACAGCGAAUUCUUAUCUGGCUCAGAUGAUGGUAGUAUUGAGCUUUGGAGCAUAUUACGGAAAAAGCCUACGCACAUAAUAAAAAAUGCUCAUGCUUCACCAAUAUAUCCUAAUGAUCAUUUGCAUAAAGAAGUUCUUGAAAGGAUGCCUGAUGGUGGUAAUACAGAAAAUGGCAUCUGCAAAUCUGAAAGCUAUUCGUCAGCCAACUCAUGGAUUAGUUCUGUUGCGGUGUGUAGAGGUAGUGAUCUUGCUGCAACUGGAGCUUCUGAUGGUGUGGUCCGUUUAUGGGCAAUUGAAAGUGAUAAUAAAGGCAUUCGGCCAUUAUUUAGUUAUCCCCUGGAACCAAAACAUGAGGUGGAAGAAAAAAGGAAAAAGAAAGGGGGAAACAAAUCCAGCAUAGCCAGUUUGGAGAAGUAUCAGCAGAUGAAAGCCAAUCUGGGAAAAAGUCCAGAGACUUAUUUUGAUGAAAUGUGGGCCAGUGCUAGCAUUUCUUGAUUUCUUUUCUUUCGUUUAGUUUUGUGUUCUGAGGAAAUUUGGUUUUAAGGUGUGUAUGCGUACAAGAGUACAAGGUUAAGUGACCUUUUUGCUCAAUUAAUAGCAGACUUGAUAAUAUUGAUAUCCUUAAGCUACAGAAAUGUUCAGAGACAUGAUCAAGCCAUUCAACUUCAAAUAUAGUUGCCUUGCAGAAAUGAUACUCAAAGUUGGAUUUAUAAAUUCACUUGCAUUUGCAAAAUCUGGACGUUUCCUUCUUGCUGGAGUUGGUCAGGAACCUCGUCUGGGAAGAUGGGGACGAGUUCCAGCGGCUCGGAAUGGAGUUGCAAUACACUCUAUCAGGUUGAAGGAAGAGUAGCCCUUUAGCGACCCAAAUUCUCAGCUCAUACCUUAGAAACAUACUGAGGAAUUCUCAUUUUGGCGAGUAUGACGAGUAAUUCCUCACAAUUUAGCAAAUCAUGUGUGCGCGGCCAAAGCCUCAGCAGUGUAGUAGUGCCUUGUCUUUGGUUAUUAUCAAUGUGCCUUUUUACUGUAUUUGUAGGUCAAGUGUUUUUCCACAGCUCAGCAUCAGAUGAGGCUACAACCAGCUUGCCUGCAUAUUUUAUUGCAGAAGCGUAAUUUUGUAUUACUUAUUCUUUUUCCAAGGAAGAAAUAUUUAUUUUUAUUGUUGAAGUGGCUUUGACUUGUACUCUAGAAUAUAUGAUCUGAUUCACUACAAUUUGCUUA
This is an RNA transcript of Elaeis guineensis (African oil palm), 2514 nucleotides long. It is a transcript of the gene named U3 snoRNP-associated protein-like EMB2271, with no coding region annotated. The record is from RefSeq and is a predicted model, not a curated record. NCBI's taxonomy places the organism in Eukaryota, Viridiplantae, Streptophyta, Magnoliopsida, Arecales, Arecaceae.